AUGAAGAUCGAUGUUCUCUUCUCUUUCUUACUGAGCGCACUGCAAAUGAUUUUCCAGAAGAAAAUAUAAACAUGAGUGAACUUCAAAUGAACAUCCCGAGAAACAAAUUGACGUUUUUUGUCGACCGCAGCAGCGCGCUGCAUGCUGCUAGCUCAUGAACUACAACCUGAAGCUGAAGAAUAGACAAAAAACUAGUAGCAAUCUGGGCUAAAAUUAUCCACCCCAAAAAUGAAUAAGUGAACAAAACUGCACAUUCAUCCGCCACACCGUCCUGCACACACGUGCUUGCCGGACUGCAUAGCCACGUU
This 308-nucleotide long non-coding RNA is filed under the name Triticum aestivum (bread wheat). Its description in RNAcentral is "long non-coding RNA (TAES_LNC008865)". Lineage: Eukaryota; Viridiplantae; Streptophyta; Magnoliopsida; Poales; Poaceae. The record is from RNAcentral.